GCCUGGCUCUUACACAAGGCUUCCUUCUGCUCACACUCAGAGCUUUGCACAACCGGCGACAUAUACAAGCACUGGGUCUGGAACAAAAGAAAACCUGGCUCUGAGAUCAGCCUCUGCCGUCCACCAGCUAUGUGGCCUUGAGAACCAAGGUGCUACCUCCUCCAGAAAGCCUUUCCAGAUUCUCCCUCCCUCUUCCUUCACCUGAGCCAGGUGGAGUUUGGGGAGCUGUGUGAUGAAAAGAAUAUAUAAGUGAAAUUGUAAAGACCUA
Molecule: non-coding RNA, 268 nt
Organism: Callorhinus ursinus (northern fur seal)
Lineage: Eukaryota; Metazoa; Chordata; Mammalia; Carnivora; Otariidae
Source: RefSeq, a predicted model, not a curated record